Molecule: ribosomal RNA, 719 nt
Filed under: uncultured bacterium
Lineage: Bacteria
Description: bacterial SSU rRNA
Rfam family: Bacterial small subunit ribosomal RNA
Source: RNAcentral
GAACCUGCCUCAAAGAGGGGGACAACAGUUGGAAACNACUGCUAAUACCGCAUAAGCCCACGGCUCGGCAUCGAGCAGAGGGAAAAGGAGCAAUCCGCUUUGAGAUGGCCUCGCGUCCGAUUAGCUAGUUGGUGAGGUAACGGCCCACCAAGGCGACGAUCGGUAGCCGGACUGAGAGGUUGAACGGCCACAUUGGGACUGAGACACGGCCCAGACUCCUACGGGAGGCAGCAGUGGGGAAUAUUGCACAAUGGGGGAAACCCUGAUGCAGCGACGCCGCGUGGAGGAAGAAGGUCUUCGGAUUGUAAACUCCUGUUGUUGAGGAAGAUAAUGACGGUACUCAACAAGGAAGUGACGGCUAACUACGUGCCAGCAGCCGCGGUAAAACGUAGGUCACAAGCGUUGUCCGGAAUUACUGGGUGUAAAGGGAGCGCAGGCGGGAGAACAAGUUGGAAGUGAAAUCCAUGGGCUCAACCCAUGAACUGCUUUCAAAACUGUUUUUCUUGAGUAGUGCAGAGGUAGGCGGAAUUCCCGGUGUAGCGGUGGAAUGCGUAGAUAUCGGGAGGAACACCAGUGGCGAAGGCGGCCUACUGGGCACCAACUGACGCUGAGGCUCGAAAGUGUGGGUAGCAAACAGGAUUAGAUACCCUGGUAGUCCACACCGUAAACGAUGAUUACUAGGUGUUGGAGGAUUGACCCCUUCAGUGCCGCAGUUAACA